ACGUACACUCCUACGGGAGGCAGCAGUGGGGAAUAUUGCACAAUGGGCGCAAGCCUGAUGCAGCCAUGCCGCGUGUAUGAAGAAGGCCUUCGGGUUGUAAAGUACUUUCAGCGGGGAGGAAGGCGAUAAGGUUAAUAACCUUGUCGAUUGACGUUACCCGCAGAAGAAGCACCGGCUAACUCCGUGCCAGCAGCCGCGGUAAUACGGAGGGUGCAAGCGUUAAUCGGAAUUACUGGGCGUAAAGCGCACGCAGGCGGUCUGUCAAGUCGGAUGUGAAAUCCCCGGGCUCAACCUGGGAACUGCAUUCGAAACUGGCAGGCUAGAGUCUUGUAGAGGGGGGUAGAAUUCCAGGUGUAGCGGUGAAAUGCGUAGAGAUCUGGAGGAAUACCGGUGGCGAAGGCGGCCCCCUGGACAAAGACUGACGCUCAGGUGCGAAAGCGUGGGGAGCAAACAGGAUUAGAAACCCCAGUAGUCCCAU
This 478-nucleotide ribosomal RNA is filed under the name uncultured organism. RNAcentral's name for it is "partial 16S ribosomal RNA". It matches the Rfam family "Bacterial small subunit ribosomal RNA", at positions 329 to 798 of the family's 1533-position model. The record is from RNAcentral.